This is a long non-coding RNA of Mirounga angustirostris (Northern elephant seal), 858 nucleotides long. RefSeq lists it as uncharacterized. The transcript has 3 exons. NCBI's taxonomy places the organism in Eukaryota, Metazoa, Chordata, Mammalia, Carnivora, Phocidae. The record is from RefSeq and is a predicted model, not a curated record.
UGACAUUUCUAAGUUCGGUCAUUGAGAGAGUUUUCAAGACCAGAACUUGGUGUUCUCUUGCUCUCCUCUACCACCAAAUGAUGAAUCAAAUCUUGGUGAUCAUUCAGGUUGUGGGCCAGCACCAGUUCACGGACCCGAAGGCCCCACCCAAUGUGUAGCCCGCGAACUAGCAGCAUCUGCAAGCAUCCGGGAACUUGUUAGACAUGCAGAUUCCUCGGCCCCACUCCAGACCCCUCGAACGUGCACCUGAGCUUUAGGAAGAUCUCCAGGUACCCGGGCUCUCUACCCCCAGGACCAGUCUCCAUCCAUUACUCUACCAACUUGCCUGGAAUCAUGGUGUGAAAAAUGGUACCAGAACUGUUACCGAGACAGCUGUCUUUUGGGGGGGAAAUAAAUUCUUGCGGGGAAGAAAGUGAGGAACUCAAGUAAGGAAAUGAAGACAUUAAGCUGUGCUGCAUGAGGAAAUGAGAGAAAUUUGUGUUUUGGUUCUUGAGAGGCCUGGAGAGAAGAGCAGGAGAGACAAAGGACCAAGUUGAAGAGAAGAACAAUUUAGGAAGGGGAUUAUAAUGGGGAUAAUUAACAGUGAAACAUCCCUCAGCCAAAAUAACUUUGAAGGUUAGAGAUAUCUAAAAUGUGAUUUUAGGUUGUUCAUCUGAUACAUGAUGUGACUACUAAAACUUUUGUGACGUCUAUGCCAUGGAUGUUUUGUGAAAGAGGAGUUUGGGUAUAUGUGUGUGUGUCUCCAUGUGUUGUGCAUACAUAUCAAGGAAGGGCUUGGUUUUCCUCUGUGUCAAUGUGAGAACGGGGACACUCUGUACUAAAAGGCCACGUAUAGCCCAAAGACAGAAGUACCAUCAA